UUGAUUCUAAAGGCCAACAACCCACCCUCACCCCCACCUCAACUAGUCGUAUUGGCCGGGGAUUAUGGUAAGCUACCUUGGAUAUGAAAAAUUCCUAAAAUUUCUGUAUUUGAAGAUCUUCUUCAAACUCUGAUUACUGUAUCUUUGAAGAUAGGGAACUUGAAUAACAGUUUUACCUUCUAAUUCAUAUGCUUCGAUCCAUGCAAGCCGUAAGUUAAGAUCAACCAAAGAUUUCUCAUAAUGCAGGCUUUGUCCCGGGUGAGCAGAUCUUUUAAGCCAAACCAAACCUCCAUUCAUCUUUUGGGUGGCAAAUAGCUUAUCAACUAACGUUAGCCGCUCGCACUACCUUCCCUGUCCUUCCAAAGCAACGCAUAUCAUAGCCGAGUAGCCCUCUUCGCUACUCUCCGAGGCAGUACGAGGUUCCUACACCAUAAAUUUUGAAUGCUAAACAGUAGCACUUGAAUAAGUUUAAGUCUCCCUGCAAAGGAUAAAUUAUACAUUUUAUCUUUUAGGUUAUUUUUCAACCGAAGGAUUGCAAUCCCUUCCACGGAACUUUUUUUUUUGUAGGUAUCUUAUAGGAAGUGAUCCUUAUCUUAAAACCAGUUUUAUCAACCAUCUCCUGUAUCAGUUUUUGAUUGAUCCCAAAACAGAACAACUCACUCUUUAAGGGAUUUAAUUUCAAGCCAAAGAUCCUGUAAAAUGUGUCCAUGAUGCUGGUUCCAAUUUUUCUUUGGUAAAAAUCAAUCAAUCAUUUGGAAGCAUAAAUGUGUAAGGUUAAGAUACCUGCACAAUGGUAUUUGAAAGGCUUGAUAGCAAGAGCAGCAUCUGAAACUAAAGAACUUUGGCGUGGUAGCACAACCCUUAAUCCAAUCAACAAAGAGCUUGAGAAAUUUCAUGACCUAAGGUUCCAAUCUAAGAAAUCAAAUGCCUUCUUAAUCUAUCAUGAUUCAUCAGCCGGCGCCUUAUUGUUAUUGACCUUAACUUAGAUGAGUGCAACCAACACAUUCUGCACGUCAGUAGGGAGAGCCAUUUGCUGCAAAUCCUUAAUUUGGCAGUCCAGCUUAUAAUUCUUCUUCUUUUUUUUCCAUGGCUCCAUCAUUGAAGUGGGAAAUAACUGUCAAGGAUAAUCUUAUCGUUACAGACAUCCAUGUCGAAAAG
RNAcentral lists this long non-coding RNA (1158 nucleotides) under Gossypium barbadense (sea-island cotton). RNAcentral describes it as "long non-coding RNA (GBAR_LNC019440)". The record is from RNAcentral. Lineage: Eukaryota; Viridiplantae; Streptophyta; Magnoliopsida; Malvales; Malvaceae.